Molecule: ribosomal RNA, 491 nt
Filed under: uncultured bacterium
Lineage: Bacteria
Description: partial 16S ribosomal RNA
Rfam family: Bacterial small subunit ribosomal RNA
Source: RNAcentral
AUUGAACGCUGGCGGCAUGCUUUACACAUGCAAGUCGAACGGUAACAGGCCUUCGGGUGCUGACGAGUGGCGAACGGGUGAGUAAUGCAUCGGAACGUACCCAGAGGUGGGGGAUAACGCAGCGAAAGCUGUGCUAAUACCGCAUGUGAUCUGAGGAUGAAAGCGGGGGACCGAGCAGCAAUGUUUGGCCUCGCGCCUUUGGAGCGGCCGAUGUCGGAUUAGCUAGUUGGUGGGGUAAAGGCCUACCAAGGCGACGAUCCGUAGCUGGUCUGAGAGGACGACCAGCAAAACGGGAAUUGAGCAACGGCCAAGCCUCCUACGGGAGGCAGCGUUGGGGAAUUUUGGACAAGGGGGGCAAGCCUGAUCAAGCAAUGCGGCGGGCGGGAAGAAGGCCUUCGGGUGGUAAACCGCUUUGGCAGGAACGAAACGGUGUCCGCUAAUACCGGGCGCUAAUGACGGUACCUGCAGAAUAAGCACCGGCUAACUACGUG